This is a long non-coding RNA of Ictalurus punctatus (channel catfish), 856 nucleotides long. Lineage: Eukaryota; Metazoa; Chordata; Actinopteri; Siluriformes; Ictaluridae. The record is from Ensembl.
UUUAAUAAGAUAAUCAUUUGUAGCUAUGGUUAUUUGACAAUUUGGUUAAUUCCUCUAGGGGAACAGGCUGUUGAGGAGUUGAAUGGUGCAGGUCAGUAUACUGGUAUAUUGGUUCUUCUUGCUAUAACCAUAUCUGUACUUGUGAUGUUGUGGGAACCAUAAACAAUAUUGUAGUAAUACAUGAUCACUUGUGUCUUCAGUUGAAGAUAAGGAGGAAGCUCUCAAAGUAGAUGCUGCUGCUGAAGUUAAGUUGGCCUACUGUCCACCUGGAUGGCUUAAAUAUGAAUCACUCUCCUUUCAACAUGAGAUCAAUUCUGUCCUGGCUCAAUGCUGAGGCCCAAGCAAAUGCUAAAGCGUCUUCUGCUCAGUGUUCCUGGGAUAAGCUCUGGAUCCACCAUGACCCUGACAAGGAUAAAAUGGUUACUGAAAAUGAAUGAAUGAAAAAUGCCAAAUGGGGCAUGUGUGGUGCAGCUCGAUUGACCCGCAAUCAGUGUGUAACGCCUAACUGUACUGCGCUUGCAACCAAUCACUGAUCACCAUUGUUCCCCAUGACCAGUUACUGAUUACCACUGUUUUCCAAUGACCAAUCACUGAUCACAACUGUCAGUCCCACCCUUGCAUUUAUUUGUUCUUCUUUUUAAACUUCCUUCUUGCAGAUAUAGUAAUAAACAUUUCCCUACUAUUCAAUUUUCACAAAUACUCAGUCAGCACAUCUUUUUUGUUCUUUUAUAGUAUUUUGUAAAUGUACUUAGUUCAAAGAUGACUUGUUUAUGUAAGAAAUAACUUCUAAUCUACUUUUACCUAUUAUUUUUACCUAAAUUUGUAAUUUGAUGAAUAAAAUCAAUAUGCAAAUUAA